GCAGUCGAGCGGCAGCGGGGGUGCUUGCACCUGCCGGCGAGCGGCGAACGGGUGAGUAAUACAUCGGAACGUACCCAUGUGGUGGGGGAUAACUACUCGAAAGAGUAGCUAAUACCGCAUACGCCCUGAGGGGGAAAGCGGGGGAUUCUUCGGAACCUCGCGCCAUUGGAGCGGCCGAUGUCGGAUUAGCUAGUAGGUGGGGUAAAGGCUCACCUAGGCGACGAUCCGUAGCUGGUCUGAGAGGAUGAUCAGCCACACUGGGACUGAGACACGGCCCAGACUCCUACGGGAGGCAGCAGUGGGGAAUUUUGGACAAUGGGCGCAAGCCUGAUCCAGCCAUGCCGCGUGAGUGAAGAAGGCCUUCGGGUUGUAAAGCUCUUUCAGUCGGGAAGAAAAGGCGCGCUCUAACAUAGCGCGCUCAUGACGGUACCGACAGAAGAAGCACCGGCUAACUACGUGCCAGCAGCCGCGGUAAUACGUAGGGUGCGAGCGUUAAUCGGAAUUACUGGGCGUAAAGCGUGCGCAGGCGGUUGUGUAAGACAGGUGUGAAAUCCCCGGGCUUAACCUGGGAACUGCGCUUGUGACUGCACGGCUAGAGUACGGCAGAGGGGGGUGGAAUUCCACGUGUAG
This 630-nucleotide ribosomal RNA is filed under the name bacterium SL4.23. RNAcentral's name for it is "bacterial SSU rRNA". It matches the Rfam family "Bacterial small subunit ribosomal RNA", at positions 57 to 678 of the family's 1533-position model. The record is from RNAcentral.